This 497-nucleotide ribosomal RNA is filed under the name uncultured bacterium. Its description in RNAcentral is "partial 16S ribosomal RNA". It matches the Rfam family "Bacterial small subunit ribosomal RNA", at positions 28 to 507 of the family's 1533-position model. The record is from RNAcentral.
GACGAACGCUGGCGGCGUGCCUAAUACAUGCAAGUAGAACGCUGAAGAGAGGAGCUUGCUCUUCUUGGAUGAGUUGCGAACGGGUGAGUAACGCGUAGGUAACCUGCCUUGUAGCGGGGGAUAACUAUUGGAAACGAUAGCUAAUACCGCAUAACAAUGGAUGACACAUGUCAUUUAUUUGAAAGGGGCAAUUGCUCCACUACAAGAUGGACCUGCGUUGUAUUAGCUAGUAGGUGAGGUAAUGGCUCACCUAGGCGACGAUACAUAGCCGACCUGAGAGGGUGAGCGGCCAGACUGGGACUGAGACACGGCCCAGACUCCUACGGGAGGCAGCAGUAGGGAAUCUUCGGCAAUGGGGGCAACCCUGACCGAGCAACGCCGCGUGAGUGAAGAAGGUUUUCGGAUCGUAAAGCUCUGUUGUAAGUCAAGAACGGGUGUGAGAGUGGAAAGUUCACACUGUGACGGUAGCUUACCAGAAAGGGACGGCUAACUACGUG